Molecule: non-coding RNA, 763 nt
Filed under: Erythranthe guttata (spotted monkey flower)
Lineage: Eukaryota; Viridiplantae; Streptophyta; Magnoliopsida; Lamiales; Phrymaceae
Description: Mimulus guttatus (spotted monkey flower) Eukaryotic small subunit ribosomal RNA
Rfam family: Eukaryotic small subunit ribosomal RNA
Source: Rfam by way of RNAcentral
AAAAUUGAAAUUCUUGGAUUUAUGAAAGACGAACAACUGCGAAAGCAUUUGCCAAGGAUGUUUCAUUAAUCAAGAACGAAAGUUGGGGGCUCGAAGACGAUCAGAUACCGUCCUAGUCUCAACCAUAAACGAUGCCGACCAGGGAUCGGCGGAUGUUGCUUUUAGGACUCCGCCGGCACCUUAUGAGAAAUCAAAGUCUUUGGGUUCCGGGGGGAGUAUGGUCGCAAGGCUGAAACUUAAAGGAAUUGACGGAAGGGCACCACCAGGAGUGGAGCCUGCGGCUUAAUUUGACUCAACACGGGGAAACUUACCAGGUCCAGACAUAGUAAGGAUUGACAGACUGAGAGCUCUUUCUAUUUUUUUUUUUGAUUGAAGAUGUAAAUAUAUAAAUCAAAAAAAGUCGUAGACAAUUACAACGGGCAUACCCGAGGGAAUUGAAGCACUAACGGUUGGCUAUAAGCCAUCGAAAAGCGUAAAAACGUAAAGAAAAACAUCAGGUUCGAUAACAGAAAAAAAAAAUCGGUUGGGGGUAAGCCUUAAGCCCUAGUUUGCGUCGAUUUGGCCUAUCAUGAAUCGGCCUCCACUGCUGGUCGUCAGUUCCGGAUGCUGCAUAAACAUAGCUGAGUAAACGUGGGUCUUGAUCCUCGUAGUAAUUUCGGUAGCCGUCGUUUCCGUCAUGUCGAAUUUCGCCCUGUUCCGAGCUGCCCAAAUGUGGUACACAACACUCGCCAAAGCACAUCUCCUCGCCUUGCUUCGAUAAGAU